This 6466-nucleotide long non-coding RNA is filed under the name Salvia miltiorrhiza (redroot sage). Its description in RNAcentral is "long non-coding RNA (SMIL_LNC005560)". Lineage: Eukaryota; Viridiplantae; Streptophyta; Magnoliopsida; Lamiales; Lamiaceae. The record is from RNAcentral.
GAAAAUGGAGGUGAUUAUAUAGUGGUAUGAGUGUGGUGAGUGAUUGUAGUGAAGUGGUGUAGAAAAUAUUGUGAGUGUAGUGUGUGUAGAAGAUAGAGAGAAUGAUUUUAGAGUGGAGCUCUUGUCUCCAAAGAACUUAGAUAAUAUUAGAUAGAGUGAUGUUUUUUGAGAUUGUUGAGAUUAUGUGAGAUUGGUUACAAAUGGCUCACAAGAGCUCUAUUUAUAGGUGUGGGAAGAUCUCUCUAGAUCCCACUACAUUUAGCUUGUAUCUAGAAUUUUCUACUAACAUCUACUUAAGGAAUUCUCUAAAUACUAUAUGGAAAAUAUCUAAUCUCUAGAAUACUCAUACUUGUCCUAGUAUUAUUUAGAAUACUCUAGAUUGAUCUAGCUAGUGGUGAAUUCUCUAGAAUAUACAUAGCUUAUUCUCACCUAGAAUAUUCUAGAUAAAUGCAUCACACUUCAAUACUCCUCCUUGAUGCAUUUAUCGGUUACUCCAAGCAUUCUUCGUAGAAACUGGAAUCUGUCCCUUGGUAGUGCUUUUGUGAAGAUGUCCGCCAACUGCUCUUCUGUUGGACAAUACUUCAUCUCGAUAAGUUUCUUUGCUUCAACAUCUCUCAAGAAGUGAUACUAGAUGUCGAUGUGCUUCGUGCGAUUGUGCUGAACUGGAUUCUUAGCCAUUGCUAUAGCUGACUUGUUAUCACAGUAGAUCUCUGUCGAUGAGUCUUGCGGUUCGCCCAUAUCCGCUAGUAUUCUUCUAAGCCAUAUAGCUUGACAUGCUGCUUCGGCUGCUGCAACAUACUCAGCUUCUGCUGUUGAUAGUGCAACUGAGUCUUGCUUCUUUGAUCCCCAAGAAAAAAUUCCUGAGCCAAACUUGAAAGCAUAGCCUGAUGUGCUUUUCAUGUCAUCUUGAGAUCCAGCCCAAUCACUAUCGCUAUAUCCACUGAUCUGUGAGUCAGACUUUGGUUUGUACCAGAUACCAUAGUUGAGCGUACCUUGCAGGUAUCUGAGAAGUCUCUUUGCUGCUCCAUAGUGGGUCUCCUUCGGACUUUCCAUGAAUCUGGAUAGAAGGCUUGUUGCAUACUUGAUGUCUGGCCUUGUUGCCGUCAAAUAUAGUAGACUCCCAAUCAAACUUCGAUAGUUUGUAGAAUCCGUCGGUUUUGACCCAUCUUCUUUCUUCAACUUCUCAUUUGGAAUGAGAGGUGUAACCACUGGCUUGCAGUCUUGCAUCUUGAACUUCUUGAGCAUAUCUUCAAUAUACUUCUUUUGUGAUAGGAAGAUGCAUUCUUCCUCUUGACUUAUCUCCAUUCCGAGAAAAUAGUGCAUUAAUCCUAAGUCCGUCAUCUCAAAGGUGCUCAUCAUGUCUCUCUUGAAAUCCUCGAUCAAUUUUGUGUUAUUUCCUGUGACAAUUAAGUCAUCAACAUAAAGAGAGACAAUCAGGAUGUCCGUACCUAGAGUUUUGAUGUAUAGAGUUGCUUCGUUCUUGCUCCUCAUGAAUCCUUGACCGGUGAAAUAUCCGUCUAUUUUGCUGUACCAGGCUCGUGGCGCUUGUUUGAGCCCAUAGAGUGCUUUCUUGAGGCGAAGAACUUUGCCUUCUUGCUUUGUGAAUCCUUCUGGCUGCUCCACAUAUAUCUUGUCUGUUAGAUCUCCAUUGAGAAAUGCCGACUUAACAUCAAGUUGAUAGAUUUUCCAUCUCUUUUGAGCCGCCAGAGCUAUGAGUGCUCGAAUUGUGUCCAUCCGUGCCACUGGAGCAAACGUUUCUGUGUAGUCGACUCCUGGUACUUGAGCAUAUCCUUUUGCGACAAGUCUUGCCUUAUGCUUCUGGAUCGAACCAUCAGGAUUCAGCUUUGUCUUGAACACCCAUUUGACUCCAAUGACUUCCUUGUCACUUGGAAGAUCCACCAACUCCCAAGUAUCAUUCUUUUCUAUCAUUUUUAUCUCCUCCUCCAUUGCUUUAAUCCAAACUUUCUCUUUGGAUGCUUCUGCAUAGUUACUUAGCUCCAAAGAACAAAAGUUGCAUGUCUCAUAUAUAUCAGUGGAUUCAUAUAAAUCUGCUAGAGUUCUUACCUGAAAAGGUGGAGAGUCUGGUGAGGAGUCUGAGUCGGAUCCACUUGAGGUAUUGGCUUCUGAAGAGGACCUUGGUGGGCUUUGUUGAUCUUUCUCCAUGUUCUGUGACUUCUUUUAGGAGUGUAGUUGUUGUCUGCCUUUCAACACUUUCUGUCUCCCAAUUCCAGGAGGCUUGUUCGUCAAAUUCCACGUCUCGACUUGUCACCAGCUUCUUGGUCUCAAGAUUGUAGAUUCUAUAACCCUUGGAUUUAGAGCUGUAGCCGAGGAAGAUUCCCUUCUCCGUCUUGUCCUCCAGUUUAUGUCUUUUUACUGAGGGAAUGUGGAUGUAGCAGAUACUUCCAAAGACCCUCAAAUGUUUGGCUGAAGGCUUUUGUCCUGACCAAGCUUCAAUCGGCGUCUUGUUUAGCACGGCCUUUGUUGGACAUCGGUUGAGUAGGUAGACCGAUGUAUAUACUGCCUCCGCCCAAAACUUCUUUGGCAAUCCUUUCUCCGCCAGCAUGGAUCUCGCCAUCUCCAUGACUGUUCGAUUAUUUCUUUCUGACACGCCGUUUUGUUGUGGAGUGUAGGCCACCGUUAGUUGAUGCUCCACACCUUCAUCUUCACAGAACUUGUUGAACUCUUUUGAGUUGUAUUCGGUACCUCGAUCGCUUCUCAGUGUCUUUAUUUUGCGACCACUUUGGUUCUCCACAAAGUUCUUAAAUCUCUUGAAGAUUCUAAAGACUUCUGAUUUUUCUUGGAGGAAAUAUACCCAAGUCAUUCUAGAGUAGUCAUCAAUAAAGAGGAUGAAGUACCUGUUUUGGUUUACUGAAGGUGUGCGCAUUGGACCGCAAACGUCGGUGUGGACAAGCUCUAGUAUCUCCUUGGCUCGCCAUGUUUUCUCCGUUGGAAAUGGUUGUCUGUGUUGCUUUCCGAUCAUGCAUCCUUCGCAUACACCUUCUCUUUCAUUUAGAAGAGGCAUAUCUCUCAUCAUAUUUUUCUGAUGAAGUAGCCUUAAGGCAUUUAGGUUGAAAUGCCCAAAUCUCCGGUGCCAUAGACUCGUAUCGUCGAGUUGAGCCACCAUUGCCUUUUGUGGAUAUUGCCAUUGAAUGGGAAAGUUUCUAUUUUUUCCCAUUUUUACUACUGCAAUAUCUUGGUUAUUUUUCUUGUCGUAAAUUCGACAAGAAUCUUUCUCAAAGUGGAGGGCAUAUCCACUUUCCAUCAUUUGGCCAACACUUAAUAGACUUUGUGCAAGACGAGGUACUAGGAGAACAUUUCUAAUAAAUCGCGUACCUUUAUUAGUUUCUAUGGCAAUUGUACCUUUCCCUUUCGUCUCCACCAGUUCUCCAUUGCCCAUCUUCACCUUCGUCUUGACUGAAGUAUCUAACUCACGGAAUAUGGUCUCGUUGGAUGUCAUGUGGUUGCUGCAUCCGCUAUCAAUGUACCAUUCUUCUUCUCGUGUCUUCUGUUGCCGAGUGACAUGCAUAGAACAUGUACUCCUUCUCUAUUUUGAUUUUCUGAAUAGUUGGCUUGAUGAUUUCUUCUAUCUCUGCAAUCUUUUUCCACAUGCCCGAACCUUUUGCAGUUUUUGCACUGUGGCUUUCCUCGAUGAUAGCAGUCCUUCUCUAAGUGAUUUGUCUUCUUGCAAAUUCCACAUGGUGGAAAAUUUGCCUUGCUCUCCUUGUUGCUGGAGCUUCCUUCCUUGUGAUUGCUUUUAAAAUUUCCGCCGCUUCUUGACUUAUUGCCUCUAAUGUUGAGCUUGGACUGAAAGGCACUCUCUAGUGAACUUUCAUGUCGCUUGCUCAAUCGUUGCUCGUGUGCUUCCAAGGAACCCAUCAGCUCCGCGACAGACAUUUUUGAUAAAUCUUUUGAUUCUUCAAUCGCCGCCACUACUGGAUCAUACUUCUCGGUAAGGCUGAUUAAGAUCUUCUGUAUGAUCCUUUCAUCGGAGACGUUAUCUCCGUAUGACCGCAUUUGAUUGAUUAUUUCCAUUAUUCUUGAGAAAUAAUCUUUUGCGGCUUCUGAAUCUUUCAUUUUAAGAUUCUCUAGUUCUCGCCUUAAACUUUGCAGUUUAAUGGUUCGAACUUUAACGUUUCCUUGGAACUCCUCCUUAAGGAUAUCCCAAGCUUCUUUUGCAGUAGUGGCUCGAAUAAUUCUUGUCAUGAUAGAAUCACUAACAGAUUGUUGGAGAAGAUAAAGAGCUUUAGCAUUUUGUUGCUUUAAUUUCUUACGUACCUCGGAUGAGGAUGUCUUGUCGAUAUCUUCUCCCGGCAUGGUGAUUCCUUCUUCAAUGACAUCCCAAAGAUCAUGGGAUUCAAGGCAAGUCUUCAUACGAACACUCCAAUAGUCAUAGUUUUCUCCAUUGAAUAUUGGAGUCGUGAUGGAGAGACUUGACGACGCCAUAACGCCCGCUUAUGAUCGAACAAGCUCUGAUGCCACUUGUUAGAAAAUUGGAGGUGAUUAUAUAGAGGUUUGAGUGUGGUGAGUGAUUGUAGUGAAGUGGUGUAGAGAAUAUUGUGAGUGUAGUGUGUGUAGAAGAUAGAGAUAAUGAUUUUAGAGUGGAGCUCUUGUCUCCAAAGAACUUAGAUAAUAUUAGAUAGUGAUGUUUUUUAAGAUGUUUGAGAUUAUGUGAGAUUGGUUACAAAUGGCUCACAAGAGCUCUAUUUAUAGGUGUGGGAAGAUCUCUCUAGAUCCCACUACAUUUAGCUUGUAUCUAGAAUUUUCUACUAACAUCUACUUAAGGAAUUCUCUAGAUACUAUAUGGAAAAUAUCUAUUCUCUAGAAUACCAUACUUGUCCUAGUAUUAUUUAGAAUACUCUAGAUUGAUCUAGCUAGUGGUGAAUUCUCUAGAAUAUACAUAGCUUAUUCUCACUUAGAAUAUUCUAGAUAAAUGCAUCACACUUCAAUAAUGGUGCUUCCUAUGGGGAAAUGACUCCUCUGGUAAAGAUGACUCCUCUGGUAGUGAUGGCUUCUCUGGCAAUAGCCAUUUUUCCGCGUGAUUCUUCUGAUGAAGAUGAUUCCUCUGAUUUAUGUCCCUUUUUCUACUCUGCACAUAUUACUCCUCAUCACUUAUGACUAAAUGUGACAGUUAAUUAUUCUGCNNNNNNNNNNNNNNNNNNNNNNNNNNNNNNNNNNNNNNNNNNNNNNNNNNNNNNNNNNNNNNNNNNNNNNNNNNNNNNNNNNNNNNNNNNNNNNNNNNNNNNNNNNNNNNNNNNNNNNNNNNNNNNNNNNNNNNNNNNNNNNNNNNNNNNNNNNNNNNNNNNNNNNNNNNNNNNNNNNNNNNNNNNNNNNNNNNNNNNNNNNNNNNNNNNNNNNNNNNNNNNNNNNNNNNNNNNNNNNNNNNNNNNNNNNNNNNNNNNNNNNNNNNNNNNNNNNNNNNNNNNNNNNNNNNNNNNNNAUUCUUCAAUCGCUGCCACUACUGGAUCAUACUUCUCGGUAAGGCUGAUUAAGACCUUCUGCACGAUCCUUUCAUCGGAGACGUAUCUCCGUAUGACUGCAUUUGAUUGAUUAUUUCCAUUAUUCUUGAGAAAUAAUCUUUUGCGGCUUCUGAAUCUUUCAUUUUAAGAUUCUCAAGUUCUCGCCUUAAACUUUGUAGUUUAAUGGUUCGAACUUUAACAUUUCCUUGGAACUCAUCCUUAAGGAUAUCUCAAGCUUCUUUUGCAGUAGUGGCUCGAAUAAUUCUUGCCAUGAUAGAAUCACUAACAGAUUGUUGGAGAAGAUAAAGAGCUUUAGCAUUUUGUUGCUUUAAUUUCUUACGUACCUCGAAGGAGGAUGUCUUGUCGAUAUCUUCUCCUGGCAUGGUGAUUCCUUCUUCAAUGACAUCCCAAAGAUCAUGGGAUUCAAGGCAAGUCUUCAUACGAACACUCCAAUAGUCAUAGUUUCCUCCAUUGAAUAUUGGAGUCGUGAUGGAGAGACUUGAUGACGCCAUAACGCCCGCUUAUGAUCGAACAAGCUCUGAUACCACUUGUUAGAAAAUGGAGGUGAUUAUAUAGUGGUUUGAGUGUGGUGAGUGAUUGUAGUGAAGUGGUGUAGAGAAUAUUGUGAGUGUAGUGUGUGUAGAAGAUAGAGAUAAUGAUUUUAGAGUGGAGCUCUUGUCUCCAAAGAACUUAGAUAAUAGAGUGAUGUUUUUGAGAUGUUUGAGAUUAUGUGAGAUUGGUUACAAAUGGCUCACAAGAGCUCUAUUUAUAGGUGUGGGAAGAUCUCUCUAGAUCCCACUACACUAACUUGUAUCUAGAAUUCUCUACUAACAUCCACUUAAGGAAUUCUCUAGAUACUAUAUAGAAAAUAUCUAAUCUCUAGAAUACCAUACAUGUCCUAGGUAUUAUUUAGAAUACUCUAGAUUAAUCUAGCUAGUGGUGAAUUCUCUAGAAUAUACAUAGCUUAUUCUCACCUAGAAUAUUCUAGAUAAAUGCAUCACACUUCAAUA